AAGACAGAAGAGUUUUAUAGAAAACAAUGUAAAACAAGAAUAGACAAUACUCAAAUGCUGUUAGACAUCAAGAAAUACAAGUUAAGGUGCCAAGAUGGCCCACUAGAAGCAACUGCCAUCAGCAACUCCCACCAAGAAGAACAAAAGCGGUGAGUGAAUCCUGCACCUUCAGCUAAGGUAUCCAGGUUCUCUCAGUGGGACUGACUAGGCAGUUGGCUUAACCCACGGAGAGUGAGGAAAAGCAGGGUGGAGUGAUGGCACACCCAGGAGCCACAUGGGGCAAGCAGAGCUCCCACCCCCAGCCAAGGGAGGUGGUGAGUGAUUGUGCUACCCCACCCAGGAAACCAUGCUUUUCCCACGGAUAUCUGCAACCUGCGAAUCAGGAGGUACCCUAGUGAGCCCAUGCCGCCAGGGCCUUGGGUUCCAAGCUCAGAGCUGUGCAGCUGCUCGGCAGCCGCUUGGGUUGCAACCAGCAGCAGGAGGCUGGAGACUGCCUAAGACCUUCGAGUUCCUGGGGGGACAGGCAGCUGUCAUCACUGAAGCUCCAGUUGGUCGUUUUCCCCUGCUGGUGCCAGGGAGAUUGGGCGAUUUGAACUAAGAGGAAUUCCCCACAGAGCAGCACAGUGGCUGUAGCAGAUCAUGGCCAGACUGCUUAUUUGGAUCCAUUCUUUCUCACCAGGCAGCGCCUCCCUGCGGGAAUUUCAGCAACUUCAGCCUGGGGUUUAUGGACAGAACUCUGAUCUACCUCUGAUGGAGCCCCUGGGGGGAAGUGUCCGUGGUCUCCGUGGUUCAGUGGACUUUAGUCUCUGCUGCCUGCUGGCUCUGAAGAGGCCGGGAAGUCAGGAGGAGGUGGAUUUCCCCCAUCACAGUGCACCCGCUCCACCAAGGGGCAGCCAGAGUGCUGUGUUAAGUGAGUCUGUGAUCCUGUGCCUCCCGAUUAGGUGAGACCCCCAACUGGCGUCGCGAGACACUUCAUACAGGAGUGUUCCCACUGGCAUUAGGUCACUGCCCCUCUGGGAUGGAGUUCCCAGAGGAAGGAGGAGGGCCCCAGGAGAAUAGGGUCUCCAGCAGACCCCCAUAAAACUGCAGAAUCGCUAUGGAAGAGGGGCCUGGCUGUUGUUAAAAGAAAAAACAAACAAACAGAAAGCAACAACAACAUCAACAAAAAGAGACCCCCACAAAGACCCCAUCCAAAGAUCAGCAGCCUCAAAGAUUGAAGGUGGAUAAGCUCACAAAGAUGAGAAAGAACCAAUGCAAAAACGCUGAAAACCAAAAAAACCAGAAUGCCUCUUCUCCAAAUGAUCACAACACCUCUCCAACAAGAGCACAGAACUGGACUAAGGCUGAGAUAAAUGAAAUGGCAGAAGUAGGCUUUAGAAGUUGGGUAAUAACAAACUUUGCUUAGCUAAAGGAGUAUGUUCUAAACCAAUGCGAAGAAGUUGAGAACCAUGAUAAAACAUUACAGGAAUUGUUAACCAAAAUAACCAGUUUAGAGAGGAACAUACAUGACCUAAUGGAGCUGAAAAAUAUAACACAAGAACUUCAUAAUGCAAUAACAAGUAUCAAUAGCCAAAUAGACCAGGUGGAGGAAAAAAUUUCAGAGCUUGAAGAAUAUCUUGCUGGCAUAAGACAAACAGACAAGAAUAGAGAAAAAAAGAAAGAAUUAAAGGUUAAUACACAAAACCUCUGAGAACUAUGAAAUUAUGUAAAAAGACUGAACCUAUGACUGACUGGUGUACUUGAAAGACACAGAGAGAAUGGAACCAAAUUGGAAAACAUACUUCAGGUUAUCAUCCAGGAGAACUUCCCCAAACUAGCAAGACAGGCCAACAUUCAAAUUCAGGAAAUCCAGAGAAUCCCUGUAAGAUAUGCCAUGACAAGAUCAACCUCAAUACAGCUAAUUAUCAGAUUCUCAAAAGUCGGAAUGAAGGAAAAAAUGUUAAGGGCAGCCAGAGAAAAUGGCCAGUUCACCUACAAAGGGAAUCUCAUCAGAAUAACAGCAGGCUUCUCAGCAAAAACCCUGUAAGCCAGAAGAGAUUGGGUCCCAUAUUCAACAUUCUUAAAGAAAAGAAUUUCCAACCCAGAAUUUCAUAUUGGCCACACUAAGCUUCAUAAGUAAAGGAGAAAUAAGAUUCUUUUCAGACAAUCUAUUGGUGAGGGAAAUAAUCACCACCAGGCCUGCCUUACAAGAGCUGUUGAAGGAAGCGCUAAAUAUGGAAAGAAAAACCAUUACCAGCCACUAUAAAAACACACUGAAGUACACAGACCAAUGACACUAUGAAGCAACUACAUUAACAAGUCAAGUCUUAAAAAUAACCAGCUAGCAUCAUAAUGAUAGGAUGGGUCACAUUAAAAUAUAACAAUAUUAACCUCAAAUAUAAAUGGGCUAAAUGACCCAAAUAAAAGACACAGAAUGGUAAGCUGAAUAAAGAGUCAAGACCCAUUGUUGUGCUGUCUUCAUGAGACCCUUCUCAUGUGCAAAGACACACUUAGAUUCAAAAUAAAGGGAUGGAGGAAAAUCUAUCAAGCAAAUUGAAAGCAUAAAGAAGCAGGGGUUGCAAUCCUAGUUUCUCACAAAACAGACUCUAAAUGAACAAAGAUCAAAAAAGACAAAGACAGGCAAUAUAUAGUGGUAAAGGAUUCAAUUCAACAAGAAGAGCUAACUAAUCUAAAUAUACAUGGACCUAAUACAGGAGCAUCCAGAUUCAUAAAACAAGUUCUUAGAGACCUACAAAAAUACUUAGAUUCCUACACAAAUAAAGUUGGAGACUUUAACACCCUACUGUCAAUAUUAGACAUAUCAUCAAGACAGAAAAUUAAAAAAGAUAUUCAGGACUUGAACUCAGCUGUGGAUCAAGUGGACCUGACGGAUAUCUACAAAACUCUCCACCCAAAAACAACAGAAUAUACAUUCUUCUCAGCACCGUGAGACACUUAACUCUAACAUUUAUCAUAUAAUUUGAAGUAAAAUACUCUUCAGCAAAUGAAAAAGAACUGAAAUAAUACCAAGCAGUCUCUCAGACCGCAACACAAUCCAAUUAGAAUUCAAGAUUAAGAAACUCACUCAAAACCACACAACUACAUGGAAAUUGAACAACCUGCUCCUGAAUGACUCCUAGGUAAAUAAUGAAAUUAAGGCAGAAAUCAAGAAGUUCCUUGAGACUAAUGAGAACAUAGAGACAUUGUACCAGAAUCUGUAUGACGCAGCUAAAGCAGUGUUAAGAGAUACAUUUGUAGCACUAAAUGCCCACAGCAAAAAGUUAGAAAUAUCUCAGAUCAACAUCCUAACAUAAUUUCUCCCUAAUUCAUGUUAUGAGGCCAGCAUCAUGCUGACCCCAGAGCCUGAUACCAAACUAAAAGAAGUAGAGAAUCAAGAGCAAACAAACCCCAAAGCUAGCAGAAGACAAUAAAUAACCAAGAUCAGAGUGAAAAUGAAGGAGAUAAAACAUGAAAAAUCCUUCAAAAAAAUCAACAAAUCCAGGAGCUGAUUUUAUGAAAAAAAUAAUAAAAUAGAUACACUGCUAGCUAGAUUAAUAAAGAAGAAAAAAAAAGAAGAAAUUAGACACAAUAAAAAAAUGAUAAAGUGUAUAUCACCACUGACCCCACAGGAAUACAAACAACGAUCAGAGAAUACUAUAAACACUUCAAUGCACAUAAACUAGAAAAUCUAGAAGAAAUGAAUAAAUACCUGGACACAUACCCUCCCAAGUUUGAACCAGGAAGAAUUCGAAUCCCUGAAAAGACCAAUAAUGAGCUCUAAAAUUGAGGCAAUAAUAAAUAGCCUACCAAACAACAACAAAAAAACACAGGACCAAACAAAUUUACAGCUGAAUUCUACAAGAGGUACAAAUAGUAGCUGCUACUUUUUCUCCUGAAACUAUUCCAAACAAGAAAAGGAGUGACUUCUCUGUACCUCAUUAUGAGGCCAGGAUCAUCCUGAUACAAAAACCUGGAAGAGAUGCAACAGAAAAGGAAAACUUCAGGCCAAUAUUUCUGAUGAACAUUGAUGUAAAAAUCCUCAACAAGAUAUUGGCAGACUGAAUCCAAUAACACAUCAAAAGUUUAUCUACCAUCAUCAAGUCAGCUGCAUCCCCAGGAUGCAAGACUGGUUCAACAUACACAAAUCAAUAAACAUAAUUAAUCACAUAAACACAACUAAAGACAAAAACCACAUGAUUAUCUCAAUAUAUGCAGAAAAGGUCCUUAAUAAAAUUCAACAUCCCUUCAUAUUAAAAACUCUCAAUAAACUAGGUAUGGAAGGGACAUACUUCAGUAUAAUAAGAACCAUUUAUGACAAACCUACAGCCAAUAUCAUACUUAAUGGGAAAAAGCUGGAAACAUUCCCCUUGAAAGCCAUAACAACACAGGAAUGCCCUCUCCCACCACUCCUAUUCAACAUAGUAUUAGAAGUUCUGGCCAGGGCAAUCAGGUAAGAGAAAGAAAUAAAGCAUAUUCAAACAGAAAGAGAAAGUUAAAUUGUCUCUGUUUGCAGAUGACGUGAUCCAAUAUCUAGAAAAACCUAUCAUCUCAGCCCAAAGAUUCUUAACUGAUAAGCAACUUCAGCAAAGUUUCAGGAUACAAAAUAAAUGUGCAAAAAUCACAAUCAUUCCUAUACACCAACAACAGACAAGCAGAAAGCCAAAUCAUGAAUGAACUCCCAUUCACAAUUGCAGCAAAGGGAAUAAAAUACCUAAGUAUACAGCUAACAAGGGAAGUGAAGAACCUCUUCAAGGAGAACUACAAACCACUGCUCGAGGAAAUCAGAGGAGACACAAACAAAUGGAAAAACAAACAUUCCAUGCUCGUGGAUAGAAAGAAUCAAUAUGGUGAAAAUAGCCAUACUGCCCAAAGUAAUUUUGAGAUUCAAUGGUAUUCCCAUUAAACUACCAUUGAUAUUCUUCACAGAAUUAGAAAAUACUAUUUUAAAAUUCAUAUGGAAACAAAAAACAACUUGUAUAGCCACAACAAUCCAAAGCAAAAAGAACAAAGCUGCAGGCAUCAUGCUAUAUAUAAAUUAGGUAUUGAUGGGACAUAUCUCAAAAUAAUAAGAGCUAUUUAUGACAAGCCUAUGCCAAUAUCAUACUGAAUGGGCAAAAACUGGAAGCAUUCCCUUUGGAAACUGGCACAAGACAGGGAUGCCCUCUGUCACCACUCCUAUUCAACGUAGUGUUUGUUAGAAGUUCUGGCCAGGGCAAUCAGGCAGGAGAAAGAAAUAAAGGAUAUUCAAUUAGGUAAAGAGGAAAUCAAACUGUCCCUGUUUGCAGAUGACAUGAUUGAUUGUAUAUUUAGAAAACCCCAUCAUCUCAGCCCAAAAUCUCCUUAAGCUGAUAAGCAACUUCAGCAAAGUCUCAGGAUACAAAAUCAAUGUGCAACAAUCACAAGCAUUCUUAUACACCAAUAACAGACAAACAGAGAGCCAAAUCGUGAGUGAACUCCCAUUCACAAUUGCUUCAAAGAGAAUAAAAUACCUAGGAACCCAACUUACAAGGGAUGUGAAGGACCUCUUCAAGGAGAACUACAAGCCACUGCUCAACGAAAUAAAAGAGGACACAAACAAAUGGAAGAACAUUCCAUGCUCAUGGAUAGGAAGAAUCAAUAUCAUGAAAAUGGCCAUACUGCCCAAGGUAAUUUAUAGAUUCAGUGCCAUCCCCAUCAAGCUACCAAUGACUUUCUUCACAGAAUUGGAAAAAACUACUUUAAAGUUCAUAUGGAAUCAAAAAAGAGCCUGCAUUUCCAAGACAAUCCUAAGCCAAAAGAACAAAGCUGGAGGCAUCAUGCUACCUGACUUCAAACUAUACCACAAGGCUACAGUAACCAAAACAGCAUGGUACUGGUACCAAAACAGAGAUAUAGACCAAUGGAACAGAAAGGAGCCCUCAGAAAUAAUACCACAUAUCUACAACCAUCUGAUCUUUGACAAACCUGACAAAAACAAGAAAUGGGGAAAGGAUUUCCUAUUUAAUAAAUGGUGCUGGGAAAACUGGCUAGCCAUAUGUGGAAAGCUGAAACUGGAUCCCUUCCUUACACCUUAUACAAAAAUUAAUUCAAGAUGGAUUAAAGACUUACAUGUUAGACCUAAAACCAUAAAAACCCUACAAGAAAACCUAGGCAAUACCAUUCAGGACAUAGGCAUGGGCAAGGACUUCAUGUCUAAAACACCAAAAGCAAUGGCAACAAAAGCCAAAAUUGACAAAUGGGAUCUAAUUAAACUAAGGAGCUUCUGCACAGCAAAACAAACUACCAUCAGAGUGAACAGGCAACCUACAGAAUGGGAGAAAACUUUUGCAAUCUACUCAUCUGACAAAGGGCUAAUAUCCAGAAUCUACAAAGAAGUCAAACAAAUUUACAAGGAAAAAACAAACAAUCCCAUUAACAAGCAGGCGAAGGAUAUGAGCAGACACUUUUCUCAAAAGAAGACAUUUAUGCAGCCAACAGACACAUGAAAAAAUGCUCAUCAUCACUGGCCAUCGGAGAAAUGCAAAUCAAAACCACAAUGAGAUACCAUCUCACACCAGUUAGUUAGAAUGGUGAUCAUUAGAAAGUCAGGAAACAACAGGUGCUGGAGAGGUUGUGGAGAAAUAGGAAAGCUUUUACACCGUUGGUGGGACUGUAAACUAGUUCAACCAUUGUGGAAGUCAGUGUGAUGAUUCCUCAGGGAUCUAGAACUAGAAAUACCAUUUGACCCAGCCAUCCCGUUACUGGGUAUAUACCCCAAUGAUUAUAAAUCAUGCUGCUAUAAAGGCACGUGCACACAUAUGUUUAUUGAAGCACUAUUCAUAAUAGCGAAGACUUGGAACCAACCCAAAUGUCCAUCAAUGAUAGACUGGAUUAAGAAAAUGUGGCACAUGUACACCAUGGAAUACUAUGCAGCCAUAAAAAAGGAUGAGUUCACGUGCUUUGUAGGGACAUGGAUGAAGCUGGAAACCAUCAUUUUCAGCAAACUAUCACAAGAACAAAACAAACACUGCAUGUUCUCACUCAUAGGUGGGAAUUGAACAAUGAGAACACUUGGACACAGGAAGGGGAACAUCACACACUGGAGCCUGUUGUGGAGUGGGGGAAGGGGUGAGGGAAAGCAUUAGGAGAUAUACCUAAUGUAAGUGACGAGUUAAUGGGUGCAGCACACCAACAUGGCACAUGUAUACAUGUGUAACAAACCUGCACAUUGUGCACAUGUAUACAUGUGUAACAAACCUGCACGUUGUGCACAUGUACCCUAGAACUUAAAGCAUAAUAAAUAAAAAUAAAAUAAAAUAAAACUAUACUAAAAGGGUAUAGUAACCAAAACAGCAUGGUACUGGUACAAAAACAGAAAUAUAGACCAAUGGAACACAAUAGAGAACUCAGAAAUAAGACUGCACAUCUACAACCAUCUGAUCUUUGACAAACCUGACAAAAACAAGCAAUGGGGAAAGGAUUCUCUAUUUAAUAAAUGGUGCUGGGAGAACUGGUUAACCAUAUGCAGAAAAUUAAAACUGGACCCCUCCCUUAAGCCUUAUACAAAAAUCAAGAUGGAGUAAAGACUUAAAUGUAAAACGCUAAACUAUAAAACCCUAGAAAAAAACCUAGGCAAUACCAUUCAGGAUAUAGGCACAUGAAAAAUUUCAUGACAAAAAUUUCAAAAGCAAUUGCAACAAAAACAAAAACUAACAAAUGGGAUCCAAUUAAACUAAAGAGCUUCUUCACAGCAAAAGAAACUGUCACUGGAGUGAUCAGACAACCUAGAAAAUGGGAGACAAUUUUUACAAUCAUCUAUCCAUCUGACAAAAGUCUAAUAUCCAGAAUUUAAAAGGAACUUAAACACAUUUACAAGUUAGAAACAAACAACCCCAUUAAAAAGUGGGCAAAGAAUAGAAAGAGACACGUCUCAAAAGAAGACUGUUAUGCAGCCAACAAACAUAUGAAGAAAAAACUCAACAUCACUGAUUAUUAGAUAAAUGAAAAUCAAAACCACAAUGAAAUACCAUCUUAUGCCUGUCAGAAUGGCGAGUAUUAAAAAGUCAAGAAACAACAGAUGCUGGCAAGGCUGCAGAGACGUAGAAAUGCUUUUACACUGUUGGUGGGAAUGUAAAUUAGUUCAACCAUCAUGGAAGACGUGUGGUGAUUCCUCAAAGACUUAGAACCAGAAAUACCACUUGACCCAGCAAUUCCAUUACUGGAUAUGUACCCAAAGGCAUAUAAAUCAUUCUAUUAUAAAGAUACAUCCACGUGCAUGCUCACUGCAGCACUAUUCACAAUAGCAAAGACAUGGAAUCAGCCCAAAUGUCCAUCAAUGAUAGACUUGAUAAAGAAAAUCUGGUAGAUAUACACCAUGAAAUACUAUGCCAUGAUCAGGUCAGCUUCAUCCCCGGGAUGCAAGGCUGGGAUUGCGUAUAAAGGAAUGAGAUCAUGUCCUUUGUAGGGAAAUGAAUGCAUCUGGAAGCCAUUAUCCUCAGCAAACUAAUGCUGGAACAGAAAACCAAAUGCUGCAUGUUCUCACUCAUAAGUGGGAGCUGAAUGAGAACACAUGGACACAAGGAGGAGAACAACACACACUGAGGCCUAUCAAGGGGAUCAGGGGGCAGGAGAACAUCGGGGAAAAUAGCUAAUGAAUGUUGGGCUUAAUAUCUAGGUGAUGGGGUGGUAAGUGCAGCAAACCACCAUGGCACACAUUUACCUAUGUAACAAAGCUGCACAUCCUGCACAUAUACCCGGAAAUUAAAAUUAAAAACAGAAAUACAGAAAUUAGAAAGUGAUUAUUAUAGGUAUACCUGGUGUUAUUGUGCUUCCCCCCCACCUUUAUUGCACUUCACAGAUAUAGCAUAUUACAAAUUAAAGGUUUGUAGCAACUCGGUGUCCAGCAAGUCUACAGGCACCAUUUUUCCAAAAGCAAGUGCUCACUUUGUGUCUUGAUGUCACAUUUUGCUAAUUCUCAGAGUAUUUCAAACUUUUUCUUUAUUCUUGUGUCUGUGAUGGUGAUCUUUGAUCAGUGAUCUUUGAUGUUACUAUUGAUAUUUUUCCUGACACACCACAAACCACACCUACACAGGAUGACAAAAUUAAUCACUAAAUAUUGUGCGUGUUCUGACUAUUCCAACUGCCAGCCAUUUCCCCAUCUUUGUCCCUCUCCAUGGUCCUCCCUAUUCCCUGAGACACAACAAUAUUGAAAUUAGGCCAAUUAAUAACCCUACAAUGACCUCUAAGUUUUCAAGUGAAAGGAAGAGUCACACAUCUUUCACUUUAAAUCAAAAGCCAGGAAUGAUUAAGCUCAGUGAGGAAAGCAUGUCAAAAGCUGAGAGAGCAAGUUGUAAAUGAAAGGAAAAUUUAUUGAAUUAAUUUAAAAGUGCUACUCCAGUGAAAACACACAUAAGAAAGUGAAACAGCCUUAUUGUGGAUAUUGAGAAAGUUUUAGUGAUCUAGAUAGAAGAUCAAACCAGCCACAAUAUUCCCUUAAGCCAAAAUCUAAUUCAGAGCAAGUUUCAAACUCUCUUCAAUAUUUUGGAGGCUGAAAGAGGUGAGAAGCUGCAGAAGAAAAUUUGAAGCUAGAAGAUGUUGGUUCGCGAGGCUUAAGGAAAGAAGCUAUCUCUAUAACUUAAAAAGUGCAAGGUGGGCUGGGCGCGGUGGCUCACGCCUGUAAUCCCAGCACUUUGGGAGGCCGAGGUGGGUGGAUCAUGAGGUCAGGAGAUCGAGACCAUCCUGGCUAACAAGGUGAAACCCCGUCUCUACUAAAAAUACAAAAAAUUAGCCGGGCGCGGUGGCGGGCGCCUGUAGUCCCAGCUACUCGGGAGGCUGAGGCAGGAGAAUGGCGUGAACCCGGGAAGCGGAGCUUGCAGUGAGCCGAG
RNAcentral lists this long non-coding RNA (9821 nucleotides) under Homo sapiens (human). RNAcentral describes it as "non-protein coding lnc-DCAF12L2-6:1". Lineage: Eukaryota; Metazoa; Chordata; Mammalia; Primates; Hominidae. The record is from RNAcentral.